GAUGAACGCUGGCGGCGUGCCUAAUACAUGCAAGUCGAGCGAACAGACGAGGAGCUUGCUCCUUUGACGUUAGCGGCGGACGGGUGAGUAACACGUAGGUAACCUACCUAUAAGACUGGGAUAACUUCGGGAAACCGGAGCUAAUACCGGAUAAUAUUUCGAACCGCAUGGUUCGAUAGUGAAAGAUGGCUUUGCUAUCACUUAUAGAUGGACCUGCGCCGUAUUAGCUAGUUGGUAAGGUAACGGCUUACCAAGGCAACGAUACGUAGCCGACCUGAGAGGGUGAUCGGCCACACUGGAACUGAGACACGGUCCAGACUCCUACGGGAGGCAGCAGUAGGGAAUCUUCCGCAAUGGGCGAAAGCCUGACGGAGCAACGCCGCGUGAGUGAUGAAGGUCUUCGGAUCGUAAAACUCUGUUAUUAGGGAAGAACAAACGUGUAAGUAACUGUGCACGUCUUGACGGUACCUAAUCAGAAAGCCACGGCUAACUACGUA
RNAcentral lists this ribosomal RNA (497 nucleotides) under uncultured bacterium. RNAcentral describes it as "partial 16S ribosomal RNA". It matches the Rfam family "Bacterial small subunit ribosomal RNA", at positions 28 to 507 of the family's 1533-position model. The record is from RNAcentral.